This 1412-nucleotide ribosomal RNA is filed under the name gut metagenome. RNAcentral describes it as "bacterial LSU rRNA". It matches the Rfam family "Bacterial large subunit ribosomal RNA", at positions 809 to 2239 of the family's 2925-position model. The record is from RNAcentral.
UUGUGGCUAGGGGUGAAAUUCCAAUCGAACCCGGAGAUAGCUGGUUCUCCCCGAAAUAGCUUUAGGGCUAGCGUUGUGAGAAGAGUUAUACGAAGGUAGAGCACUGAAUGGGUGAGGGCCGCACCUCGCGGUACCAAUCUCAAUCAAACUCCGAAUGUCGUAUAAUAUGCGCAGCAGUAAGACUAUGGGUGAUAAGGUCCAUGGUCAAAAGGGAAACAGCCCAGACCGCCAGUUAAGGUCCCAAAAUUAUGCUAAGUGGGAAAGGAGGUGGAGUCGCUUAAACAACUAGGAGGUUGGCUCAGAAGCAGCCAUCCUUUAAAGAGUGCGUAACAGCUCACUAGUCGAAUGACUCUGCGCCGAUAAUUUACCGGGGCUAAGCAUACUACCGAAGCUAUGGAUCCCAAGGGAUGGUAGGGGAGCGUUCCAUGAACGGAGAAGUACGACCGAAAGGACGUGUGGAGAUCAUGGAAGAGAGAAUGCCGGUGUGAGUAGCGGAACGUGGGUGAGAAUCCCACGCACCGAAAACCCAAGGUUUCCAGAGGAAGGUUCGUCCGCUCUGGGUAAGUCGGGACCUAAGGCGAGGCCGAAAGGCGUAGUCGAUGGACAACAGGUAGAGAUUCCUGUACCCGUAUAUAUGUGAAGGAAUGACGGAGAGAGGAAGCUGCAGCCAGCGGCUGGAAGAGCUGGUGCAAGCGAGAUAUCGGGAUGGCAGGCAAAUCCACCAUCCGAAACGAGAAGGCGUGAAGCGUACGGAAAGCUACGGCGAGUACGGAAGGCAGUGGAGGAACUUCCAAGAAAAGUUUCUAACGUAAAGUAUAUAUGGCCCGUACCGAAAAUGGACACACAUGGGUGAGGAGAGAAUCCUAAGGUGAGCGAGAGAACUAUAGCUAAGGAACUCUGCAAAAUGACUCCGUAACUUAGGGAGAAGGAGUGCUCAUAGAGAUAUGAGCCGCAGUGAAACGGCCCAAGCGACUGUUUACCAAAAACACAGCUCUCUGCUAAGCCGCAAGGCGAAGUAUAGGGGGUGACGCCUGCCCGGUGCUGGAAGGUUAAGGGGAGGGGUUAACGCAAGUGAAGCCCUGAACUGAAGCCCCAGUAAACGGCGGCCGUAACUAUAACGGUCCUAAGGUAGCGAAAUUCCUUGUCAGGUAAGUUCUGACCCGCACGAAAGGCGUAACGAUUUGGGCGCUGUCUCAGCUGUAGACUCGGUGAAGUCUUAGUACCUGUGAAGAUGCAGGUUACCCGCGACUAGACGGAAAGACCCCAUGGAGCUUCACUGCAGGUUGAUAUUGGGAUUUGAUGCAGCAUGUACAGGAUAGGUAGGAGGCAAAGAGAUGGAUACGCCAGUAUUCAAGGAGCCGCUGUUGGGAUACUACCCCUGUUGUAUUGGAUUUCUAACCGGACGACGUAGA